This is an RNA transcript of Dermacentor albipictus, 565 nucleotides long. RefSeq lists it as uncharacterized. The record is from RefSeq and is a predicted model, not a curated record. NCBI's taxonomy places the organism in Eukaryota, Metazoa, Arthropoda, Arachnida, Ixodida, Ixodidae.
GCCCGCUCGCCGAGUGCACUGCGGCUCGCCGAGGCCAACAGCGUUUGGCGCGUCGUGGGCGCCACAGUCUGUGUGAGCAUGCAGAGUCAACUGCGCUCCACGUUCAGUAGGCUGAACGCUGUGGGCAUGCCCCGCUUCGCCGUAGCUUUCGCAGUGCAAGACAUUGAAGGAGCGGGAGCACCGUGACGGCGAUCAAAGAAAACGCGGGGAUGCGCUCCUUCCGGACUUGCCUUCUUCGCUUCCCUUCCUGCUCGCUCAAACAACCGCCGUGGCCGAAGAGGCGGCGCGUCGGCAAACACCUACACAUAUACGCCCUUAAUAAGGAGCAGUGGGAUCCAGCUCGGAUCCAGGAAAGCAACUAGCCCUCAUCCGGCGGGCAGCAAAGGCCAGCGGAGCCCUGGACUCAGGGCCCCGACCACAUCGACUCCGACUUUUUUCUGCAAAUAAAGUUUAAUGAAUGAAUGAAUGAAUGAAUGAAUGAAUGAAUGAAUGAAUGAAUGAACCAUCUAUGCCGUCGAUACCGUGACAUCGCAACGACGGCGCCGAUGCUGGAAACGCGUCUACA